CAAAAAUUCCCUACAUGAUGGCAUUAUCAGACAUAAAGGGAAGAUCUAUGUGGGCAAGGAUAUGGAGUUAAGGAAAAGCUUAAUGCAUGUUUUACACUCUUCUGCUGUAGGGGGCCAUUCUGGCAUGAAAGCUUCCUAUCACAGACUCAAAACAAAUAUUCUACUGUCCAGGCAUGAAAAAGGAUAUAGAUCAAUUUGUUACAUUGUGUUCAGUCUGUCAGAAGAACAAGGGAGAAACAUGCCCCUAUCCUGGAUUUCUUGAGCCUUUACAUGUACCUGAUAUGGUUUGUACCCAUGUGAGCAUGGAUUUCAUAGAGGGGCUCCCUCAAUCUGAUGGUAAAAAUGUUAUCUUAGUGGUGGUUGACAGACUAUCAAAAUUGGCACAUUUUAUCCCAUUAUCUCAUCCUUACACAGUGCAAACAGUUGCAAGAGCAUUCAUAAAUAACAUCCUCAAACUGCACGGCCCACCCCUUGCGAUUGUAUCAGACAGAGAUGCUAUCUUCACAAGUCAUCUAUGGAAGGAUAUUUUCUCGGCAAUGGGUAUUGAAUUGAGAUAUAGUUCUGCCUAUCAUCCUCAAUAAAAUGGCCAAACAGAGCGUAUUAACCAGUGCAUCGAGAACUAUCUAUGAUAUAUGACAUCCUCUGAACCCAAGAAAUGGAGCAGACAUUUGGCUAUGGCAAAGUAUUGGUACAAUACCUCCUUCCACUCCUCUCCGUAGAAAACACCAUCCGAAGCUUUGUGUGGCUACCCACCCCCUGACAUCAACCCACCACUUCCACCUCCCAGCAUUGCAAGUGAAGCUACAGAAUUCUUAUCUGAUAGAAACUCUAUGUUGCAGCAGCGGAAGGCUAAUCUUGCUACAGCACAGGCAAGAAUGAAGAAGUAUACCGAUAUGAAAAUGACAGAGAGAUUCCUGUAAGUAGGGGACAUGGUGUAUCUGAAAAUGCAGCCCUACUGUCUCAAUGCAUUUGGCCUCCACACUCAUAUCAAACUACAGAGCAAGUUCUACGGCCCCUUUCGCAUUACAGAUCAUGGGGGCAAUGUGGCUUACAAACUACUACUCCCCAGCUCCUCCAACAUCCAUCUUGUUUUCCAUGUGAGCCAACUCAAGAAGCAUUUGGGCCCUAAGGAAGUUCCCUGCUCGGAUUUGCCGUUGAUCAGUCCUAAGGGGAUAAUUCACACCGAACUAGUACUGGUAUUGGAAACAAGGCAGAUUCCUCCCAAUAAUCUACCUGUUAUCCAAUGGCUCGUCCAAUGGGAAAAUUUACCACCAGACGAUGCAUCAUGGGAAGAUGCCGACUUCAUGAAGAAAACAUUCCCAGCACUCUUCAAGAAGACAGUGCAGACCUGGUUUAACCGACCAACUCCUUGAGGACAAGUUCGUCUUUAGAGGGAGGCAUUGUCAGGUUGCUUCCACCUGCAGUAGCAUUGUUGCAUUCUUCAGUUAUCGAACGGCUAGGAAGGGACAUCAUCAAGACGAAGGAAUGGCUCACAUGGCUCGCCCCUCCUUCGACGCUCACUAUUGCAUUUACGUUUUAGUCCCUGUUCACUUUCUUUCCGUUGUCAGCUGAGGUAUAUAAGCCACCCA
Molecule: ribosomal RNA, 1589 nt
Filed under: Triticum aestivum (bread wheat)
Lineage: Eukaryota; Viridiplantae; Streptophyta; Magnoliopsida; Poales; Poaceae
Description: partial small subunit ribosomal RNA
Source: RNAcentral